AAGGACGUCGCUAAGCAUUUGUGGAAUCUACAACGGAAUAUGUGAUGGGACAGUUAUAGAUGGAAUAUAGCCGUCGCUAAAUCAUAUUUCUGACAGAAUUUAUGACGGAUAUGUAGCGACAAUAGGAUCCCUCGCAAAACCUGUCGCUAAUGACAUCCUUAUAGUAACCAUCACAAAAUCCGUCACAAUUUGCGACGGAAAUUAAACCCUCACAAAUAUCCGUC
This 224-nucleotide long non-coding RNA is filed under the name Medicago truncatula (barrel medic). RNAcentral describes it as "long non-coding RNA (MTRU_LNC002659)". Lineage: Eukaryota; Viridiplantae; Streptophyta; Magnoliopsida; Fabales; Fabaceae. The record is from RNAcentral.